CCCCACAAGGUCAAAGAGUGAGAAGCAACAUGACCUCAGCCAACCAGCUCAAUAAUUUCAAGUACUGCUUAGAAACAGCCAAAACUGCUAAUAAAUUAUUAGCCUAAAGUACAUAGAUUUACCAUUCAAUUCUACAGUUCCUCAUUUCUAUUUUUUUUCCCUUUGCCUAAAGAUGACAUUCAAGCAAAAUUAAGGCGGCAAAAAUUCAGAUCAGAAAGAAUUCUAUAUAAUAAUUUUAAAAUCUGUAAACUGAAAUCAACAAGAACCAAUAUUGCUACAAGAUCAUUUAACUUCCUACCAAAUCUCUGGCCAAGGAUUAAAUAAAGUGGCUAGAAGAAAAAAUAAAGAAAGAAAUUUCUAUGCUCUUUCAACCGUCCAUGUCUAAGAAAAAUACAAAGAAGAUAAAUGUUCCUAUAAAUCCAAAGAUCCUUUUGUUAGCUGAAGAUGUAGGAAUCGGAAAAGUAAAUUUAAAUCCAGGAAAGGAGAUAUUAAAAGUAAAUUAAAGACCUUUAUUAAUAGAAAUACAACAACUUGGCUACCGUAACCCUUUCUCCCCUCUUCAUCAGCAAUUAAAGACCCAACAGCCAAUAGCCAACAGGAAACUAGAAUGCCCAUCACCCAAAAUUACAUACAAGCUCUGGUAAUAACAUAAUCAAUAAGGAAGCAUAAAACAUUUAACUCAGUUCAGCUGAGUACAAUUCUUUAAUUCUCUGAACCCAAAAAAUAAAAAUUACAGAACUUCAUUUCCUUUAUCAACCCUACCUACCACAGGAAUAAAAAAAAUUAGAGGAAAAAGGAAAAUAAAAUCUAGCGGCUGAACAGAGCAAGAUUCAAAACCACCAAACUCAUCCAAGGGUAACACGCAAAACUGAGAAAAUCGAUCAAUAUAAAUCCAAUAUCAAAACUACCAAGCAUAUCACCGCUCAGAACUACCAAUACCCAUGAACCACAAAAGGCAGAACAUAAAAACCGAACAUCCGAGAAUCCAUUUCCCUUUCUUUACCUCAAUCUCGAUUCAGAAUUAAUAAAACCCAUGAAAAACCAGAAGCAAAAUACUAAAAUAGAAGUAUUUUCAGCUAAGAAUACGUAUAAAAAUGAGAGAGGAAAACCUUUGAUGAUUUGCUUCCACUCUUGGACAACCUCAGACCGUGUGAAGAUGGUGUAGGUGUCAUUGGCCUUGAGUCCCAGUUUGCAGGUGAAAGCAAAGCAGCAUCAGAUAGUCUCUCACUUGCAGGUGGUUGUAAGUCCUCUAGAGUUCUUGGUGCAUACGCACAAAGAUUUAAACCCAAAGCUAAUUUUGCUUUUCUCCAUUUGCUUCCCAUUUUGAUUGAACUUGAACCACAACUUGAAAUCUUCCAAAGAUUCAAGAACCAGAGCAAGAAUCCAAGAAGUAGAAUUUAACAACUCAAAGAAACCAAAAGCAAGAACGAACAAAAACAGACAGAUCUCAAAGUGCUUUGAGCCAAGCUGCUUUCUUUGUUUUCUGUUUUCUUCUAUCUUGGAAGGGGAGAGACAAUGGGUUUUUAACAAAAGAUGAAAUUGAACACGAAAA
Molecule: unclassified non-coding RNA, 1552 nt
Filed under: Hevea brasiliensis (rubber tree)
Lineage: Eukaryota; Viridiplantae; Streptophyta; Magnoliopsida; Malpighiales; Euphorbiaceae
Source: RNAcentral